RNAcentral lists this long non-coding RNA (253 nucleotides) under Salvia miltiorrhiza (redroot sage). RNAcentral describes it as "long non-coding RNA (SMIL_LNC012583)". The record is from RNAcentral. Lineage: Eukaryota; Viridiplantae; Streptophyta; Magnoliopsida; Lamiales; Lamiaceae.
GGAGUACUAUAUAACUUUUAAUAACUUGUACUGUAAUUUCAAUUCGGGCAGUGGGCACUACCCAAUUCAAUUGUUUAGUUGUGUAUUUCUUUUCAAAUUAUGAAAAAUAAUUUCUUCAUUGAGAUAAUUUUAAAAUUUAAAUCAAAUUAUAAUUAGAGAUAAUAUAUGAAAUUGGCCACUUUGUUAUAGUAAAAUUAAAAUUUGGCCACAUAAAUAAAAAAUCUUAAAUUUAGCCAGUUUUUAUGUAAAAGUA